Molecule: transfer RNA, 97 nt
Filed under: Edaphobacter acidisoli
Lineage: Bacteria; Pseudomonadati; Acidobacteriota; Terriglobia; Terriglobales; Acidobacteriaceae
Description: tRNA-Ala
Source: RNAcentral
AGACCAGUUCGCAGUCGGCCAGGUGCGCGAGUAUCUCGCGAAUGCUCCAUUUGCCUGGUGCAGGUGUGCGGUUGAGUUGCGCUCCCGACAGGUUCGC